CUGGGACACAGUCAUGCACCACCAUGCCUGGCUAAUUUUUAAAAUUUUUUGUAGAGAUGGGUUUCUCUUUAUGUUGCCAAGCCUGGCCUCAAAGUCUUGGGCUCAAGCAAUCCACCCUGUUCGGCUUCCCAAAGUGAUGAGAUUGCAGGCAUGAGUCACCACAUCCAGCCUCAAAUGCUUUUUUGUACUUUAAUGAGAUCAUAUAUUUUUAUUAAUAUGGUGAAUGAUACUGGUUAUUUUUUACAUUUUAAAUUCACUUUGCAUUCAUCAUAUAAACCCCACUUGGUCAUGGUGCAUUACCCUUCUUAUAAAUUGCUGGACUUAAUUUGCUUAUACCGUGUUAAGGAUUUUUGAAUGUAUGAUUAGGAGACAUAUUGAACUUAAGCUGCGUGGACUUAGAAUUUUCUUUGUGGAAUCGAUCAUCGUGGCAGACAGGAGGCAGGAUUAGAUUGCAGCUCUGACUCAGAGCAGCGUGCGGAGGCUCGCAUUGUGAAUUUUAGCUCCAGAUAAACUUCAAGAACAAACCAGCAAUCCUGAGAGGACCCACAGACCCUCUGAAAAAAGCGGACUGUUCCUGCAACACCCAGGAGACACCCCAAAUACUAUGAAGAAUCUGAGGCACAAAGAGGUCAACUGGCUUGCCCAAGGGUACUUGGCAGAAGGUGAGCUCUGAUAUAGUGCUUUAGUGCACGGACUCAGAAAGUGGAUGAGCUAAGACAUUCAUGAAGCUGUGUAAGAGAGAAAGGCUCAUCACCUUUGCAGAUGACACAAGCCUUUUAUGCGGGAAUCAAAGAAGAACAUGAGAGGCCAGAACACCGGAUUGAAACCAGCAAUUUGACCUUUAAAAGGUUUCCUGAGUUUCUUCUUUCUCAUCUGGAAAUUGGAUAUGCUGCAUCAGUUUCACUGGCUGUUGUGAAUGACCUGGUCUAUUGUCAACAAAGCCCUCAGAAGUCAGGCAGGAUUGUCUCUCAUGACCUAGAUCAAGACUGACACUAGAAGAAAUAUUUUAAAAAAUUACUUGAGUGGAAGAAUAUGAUAAUACACAGGAACUUGGAUCCACAAAAAGAAAGAAAGUUCUUCAGAAACAGCUAAAAAGAAACUAUCAGAAAUCUCUUGCCUGGAUUAUAGAAACAACACUUGGAAGCCUCAUUUCAGUGAUUGCAGCUUUUGCCCUUAUAUCCGUCCAACUGCACUGAAGCCAAGUUUCUGCAGAACUGGAAGACUGGUUUCUGGGAACCUGGUGAUUGGUCAGUCCAAGUCCAAAGUGGUUGCUCUUCAUGGAUUUGCACAAGUAAAUAUCAACAUUUCAGGCCAACAUUACUUUGUGAAUGCCAAUCCCUGGGCAUAAAUUUUUUUCCCAGCCCCUAUGUUCUUCCCUACCACCAGCCCGACUCAGCACCUGGUGAAAUCUCACUCUGGCUUCCAGGUCCAGCUCAUAUACUUCCUCCUCUGUGCAUCCUUCCCUCACACCCACCCUUCUCCAGUGCAGUUCAUUAUGUCCUCUGCAGUGUACACAGAGGACAUACAUCCCUCUAACAUUGUGGUUACCCUGCUGUGUGCUGAAAGCCACCCUGGUAUCUGCUUGUUUCUCUCUUUUGCACUUGAUGAAAUAUUCACAGGUGGUCACAGUCUCAGUCACCACUGUUUUCAGUAUCAAGCUUGGUGCUGAACAAUUGCUCAGUAAAUGUCCAUCAGAUGAACAGUGGGUACCUACUUGGGAAAACAUAAUAAAAUGUAUUUGUCCUAUCACCUAACUUUAUUUACAAAGGAAUUUUAAAUAGAAUCAUAAAGCGUCAGAAUAGGAAAGAAACCAUGAAGUCACCAGAGGAAGUGGUGGUAACUGUUUCCCAGUGAAAAUCCCCAAAUAGGUUUAUGUGGGCAAAUGAGAAGGAACCUUGGAAAGAUUCCACUGGAAGGCAUUUUGAUUUCCCAGAGUGGGCUGGCCCCUGUAAUGCAAACACAGAUCUGAUCAUGAGCUCUGAGCCGAGCAGACUUGCUCUUUUUGAACCUCCUCCUGCUAGGAUUCCUUGGGCCCUUCAAGGGGCACUCCCAGACUAGGGUAACAGGGGUUUCUCCCACUACAGAAGUGUGGAAUAUUAUGGAAUACUAUAAAGUGACUCUGUUCCCUCCAACCCCUUCACUUCCCGCUUACCUCUCCAUCCACUCUGCCCCCAUUGACUGAUUUCUUCUGGUUCUGAGGAAGUCUCUCCUCCUGACUCAGGAUCAAGGCCAGUCUCAGGCCCUGCACCACCAUCAUUCUCCAUGCCACAGGAGCACCCUCCACUCCUAGGCCCUGCGUGUGGUGGCUGAUCACUACAUGCUUAGCUGGGCCUAGCACAAUGCUGACGCAGGGACAUAUCCUUCUUCACUCUCUGGCAACCCCCUGGACGCAUCUGCCCUUUCAGGAUUUUGUUUCUGACAGUCUACCUCCAGCUGGCUUCUUUUCACUAGUUUCAGCAGAUUUAGGCUGGGUCUAGGUUUAGGGCUCCUGAGAAGUCUCAUUCCCCCUUCCUUCCCUGUGGGAAGGCCGUUUCUUACUUCCUACUGAAGAUGAGAUGUCUUCUCUAGAUUUUAUAGCUCAAAUGUCAAAUAAGGUGGGGUUUAGGCCUUGGGAUCAGCAUGAGGAGAUUUGACUGCCCUCGUUUCCCUCAUUCAAAGCUGUGCGGGUGUCCCCAGGAGCUUGCACCAGCUCUGCCCCAUCUGAGAAUUCCCUUCUGAUUCUCUGUUCAACUUCUUCCAAUUAAUGUGCUCAGGUUGUGAAUAUCACUAUGGGGCUUAAAGCAGUUAAAUUCUUCAAAACAGCUUUUGACUUUUAGCUUCUGGGUUCUCAAAAGUCCCCCAACCCCACCAGCUCCAGGCCCUUAUAUGCAGUUUUUACCCCAUUUAUACACUGCCGUCUGAAACACAGCAGAAAUUGCAUUCAUCCCUCAGAGAGUGUGAAUGUUUUGAGAAAAUUACUCAGCAUUUAAAUGUCAAGAUAAUCAAGACCACACAGCCACAAAUAAUUACAUAAGGAUAGAGAAGAGGCAUCUCCACUACCCAGGCUGCCAGGGCCCUUCCCAGGGCCAGGGAGUCCAGCCCACACGUUUCUCAGGUAAAGAGGAAAUAAACAGCAGCAAUGGACCACGGCCCUACCCCCCAUGGAAGCUCCCCCUGACCUCUCCUGAGGUCUCAUCUGAGGCCCAUAAGUACUUAGACUGGAUGGAUAUCUCACCCUCAUAAAGCCCUCCAUGGCAAUCAGUUUUAUUUUGAAAAUUGUUCUACAUCUCCCCUCUGCUAAGACUUGAAAAAAAAAAAAAAGGAAAAUGCUUAAGGAAAUAUUGCAAUGCUCUUUGAGUCCUGAUGAAGCAGCCAUACUAAUUCACUUCUUCCUUGUGGGAGGUGGUGAAACACCACACAGCUGCUCAAAGCCUAUUUUGGAAGUGGAUGCUGGAGAGCAGCAGCCCCUGGGCACUCCCUCCUCUGAAGGCCUUCACUGUGUUUCAAAUGAAUUGGAGGACUUGAUUCAAGCAGGGAGAUAUUUUCCUGAUUUGUUUUUUAGUGUCAGGGCACUGGCAGCAACUGGAGAUGUUUAAAUUGUGAGACAUCAGGAAGUGAGAGCAUGAGUACUUACACAUAGAUUGGGGGAAGACUCCAACCACAGGAUUUGCAUUUAGAGAGAGGGCUGGGACUAAGAUAUCUGGAUUCCACAGGACCAUUUCUAUUUCAGAGAGAUAUCCUCCUAAUUAAUUUCUUUACAAAUAAAGAGCUGUCCUUAUCCUAAUUAUUAAAAGUGAAGACAGAAACACACUUAUGGCAGGGCGCGGUGGCUCACACCUAUAAUCCCAGCAGUUUUGGAGGCUGAGGUGGGCGGAUCACCUGAGGUUAGGAGUUCGAGACCAGCCUGGCCAACAUGGUGAAACCCCAUCUCUACUAAAAAUACAAAAAAUUAACUGGGCUUGGUGGUACACACCUGUAGUCCUAGGUACUUGGGAGGCUGAGGCAGGAGAAUUGCUUUAGCCUGGGAGGCAGACAUUGCAGUGAGCCGAGAUUGCACCACUGCACUCCAGCCUGGGCAACAGAGGAAGACUCUGUCUCAAAAAAAAAAAAAAACAAAAACAAACAAACAAAAAACAAAAAAAAAACAAAAGAAAGAAAAGAAAAAGAAAAACCCCCCAAAAACGAAACAAAACAAAACAAAAACACUUACGAUGUUCUUGUCAUGGUAAUUGAUAUAAAUUGUCACCUUGCCAAGGUGCCAAGCUCCAUCCUGCACACAGUGGGGAGAUAGCACUCCCACAAGCUCAGACCAAGAUCAGCUAAAUAGGGUACAUGCAAGUCAAUGGCAUCUUGGCAGCUGAGACAGUAGGUGCAUGGGGCAGUCAGAGAGAGUGAGAACUGAGCCUGGUGGUGAGUUGUCUAGGAAAUCAGCAGUCCAUCUACAUAAGGAAUCCACCCUCUAUGACUUUACUGCCUCAUGCACGAUAUUACAUCCUUUAAGGAAGCCUUUAAUUCAUCUAUUGUCAAAACAGUGAAGGCUCAUAAAACUCUUACAGCCCAUUCACACAACUUCUCUUUGAGAAUGCAGCUGGGCACUGAUUUGGUUGAUGGUGUCUGUCUUGAAGCUUCCUAAUCAGACUGCAAAUCUCCCCAUUAGCUCAUCAAUGACCAUGUUACAAAAUCUAUAAGUCAUUUCCCGGGCCUUGUCCUACUUGACCUAUCAGCAGCAUUUGACCUAGCAGACCAUGUGCUUUCCAGGAUACCAUAGUCUCCUGAGUUGGCUCGCCCCUUUUUAUGUCAUUCUUCUUCAUGGAGCUCUCAUUAACCUGAGCUCUAAAACAUUGCAGUCUCCUGGUUCUUAUAAUUCAUAGACCUCUAAGGUGCUGCAUGGAUUUACACUAGGGGGCACAUUCACAUAGAUAUCUUGGUGCUAUCUGGAGUUCUGCAAUGCCCAGUUAUUUACUAAACCAUUGCUGAAGCAUGAUCAUAGACCAAUCAAUGCUGGUCUACCAACUGUUUGCUGCCAGCUCACAACAAGACAAGGACAGAUAUUGAGAGCACUUAUUUAGAAACAUUUAGAGCAAAGUGACAGUGUUGCUGCAUCCACACUACCCCAGUUAGACUCUUCUAGUGUUCAUGAUCUGAUCAGGUACAGACCAGUUUGGGCAUUGUUGAACUCGUGGAGAGACACACGUGAUGUGAGCUGUGUACCGGGCAUGUGAAAUAGGAUAGAGUGUGAUAUUUUCACUUAAAUUAGUCGAGUGAAAGUACAUAAAAUCUGAAUCCAUGUCUUUUAUGGAAAAAUAAUUUCAAUAAAAAAUAAGUAACCCAACUGUAGUUAAUAAUAUUGUAUUGGAUACUUAUAAUUUACUGAGAGUAGAUCUUAAGUGUUCUCACGCACACACAAAAAAAGAUUAUUGUGAGGUGAUGAAUGUGUUAACUAGUUAACCUGCUUGUAUUAAUCAUUUUACAAUGUAUAGGUAUAUUAAAUACCAUGUUGUACACUUUAAAUAUAUACAAUUUUAUUUGUCAAUUAUACUUCAAUAAAGCUGAAAAAAUAUAAUUUAAAUCAACUAACAUGUUAUAGGAUAUGUCAUUGAAUGUGGCUGCUGCUGAAGAAUUGAAGAUGGAUAUUGAAAAUAUAACUUUCAUUUUACAUAAAGGCUAAAUAUGAAUAUCUUGAGCCUAGAGAAUUUGCUUUAAAAUUCUUUCUUCCAUACCCAUCAACCUAUCUCUUCUACCAUGAGUAAUAGUAAAACAAAACAUAGAAAUAAUUUAGGUACACCUUGUCCUCAAUAAGUACUCUUGUCAUCAAUCCAACUUAGAUAAGUUAACAAGGAAGAAGCAAAUUCAUUUGUCCCUUUAAAAAGUUAAAUGUUGAUAUACAGUGAAUGUUCAAAAUGUGUGUAGAGAUUUUGAAAAUGUGAAAUCACUGUCUCAUUCUUAAUGUUUUGCUUAGCUGUAUUUCAAAAGGAUAAAAAAUAAAUGCAAUGCUGUCACUAAUCACCUAUAUGCAUAAUUUCAAUGAGCAAUGCACAGUUUUGGUAAUUUUUUUCUACAUUGUGCUUUUCCUGAUUAUAUUAUUGAAAUGUAUUUUCAUAUCUGUUGAAUAUAUUAAUACAAAUUUGGGCUUGCAUUUUAUAUGUAUUUAUUUUUAUUUCAUUUUCUUUUUCUAGUAAUUUAUUUUAUUUUUACAGAAGUGUCAGACUGCAGUUGACUAGAAACUAACACACACACAGAUACACAUUUAUAGACCUCAGAGGCAAUGCAGCCCUGGAAUUGUGCUAGUCCUUCUAUUUUCUAUGUAUACUUACACUCAUGAUGAUAUCAUCAAAUUUCAUGUCCUUAAAUUCCAUCAAAAUGCCAAUGACUUCCAAAUGUGUCUCUUCAGCCCAGACUUCUCCCCUGAACUCAGCUUUGCUUGUCCAAUUGCCUACUUGACAUUUCCACUAGGAUGAGUAACCAAUCCAAAACUGAACUUUUGAUCUUCCCCUAUUCCCACUCAGGAUGCUCUCCUUGUGCAAAACUUCGUCAUCUCAGUAAAUGAAAAGAACAUCUUUCUAGGAGCUCAGGCGAAACGCUCAAGAGUCGUAGUUGACUCUUCUCUUUUUCUCACAGUUCACAUCUAGUCUCUAUUGAAAUUAUCUUGGCUCCACCUACGAAAUACAUCCAGAAUUUAACCACUUCUCACCACCUCCAUUUCCAUUAUGCUAAUCCUAGCAUGUAUCCCCCGUGUCUGGAUUACUGCAAUGAUCUCCUAAACAAUCUCUCUGCUUUCAUUCUGUCUUCCAGUCUCUUCUCAGCUGAGCAGCUAGAAUGAACACUUCAAAGCAAAAGACACUAUGUCACUUCUCUGCUCAAAUCAUUCCAUCUGACUCAGUCUAAAAGUCAAUUGCAAUGACCUUUCAUACCAUGGGUGGUCUGCUCUCUUCCUUUGUCCACUAGGACCCAACCACACUGGCUUCCUUAUUGUUCAUCACAUGCUUCUGCCUUGGGGGCUUUGCACUCAUUGUUUCCUAUUUCUACACUCUUUUUUUUUUAAUUUAAUUUUUACUUUAGAUUCAGGAGGUACAUAUGCAGGCUUAUCACAAGGUUAUAUUGUGUGAGUCUGCAGUUUGGGCUUCUAUUGAUCUUGUUACCCAGAGAGUGAACACAGUACUAAUAGAAAGUUUUUCAGCCCUGCGUCCCUCCCUUCUCCCAUCUUUUGGAGUCCCUCAUGUCUGUUGUUUUCGUCUUUAUGUCCAUAUGUACCCAAGGUUUAGCUCCCACUUGUAAAUAAGAACAUGUGAUAUUUGGUUUUCUGUUAAUUUGCUUAGGCAAAUGGCCUCCAGCUGCACCCAUGUUGCUGUAAAACACACGAUUUCAUUUCUGGUACAUUAUUGACCAACAGAUCCCCUUAGCUUGCUCUCCAGUCUCCUACAGGUAUUUGCCUAAAUGUCAUCACCUCAGUGAGGCUUUUUAUUUUUAGAACCUACGUAAAUUUGCAUCCCUCCGGCUUCACCUCUUCCCUUUUCCUGCAGUAUUUUUCUCCACAGAACUUAAUACUUUCUAAUACACUGUAUAAUUUACUUUUUAAAGCUUGUCACUAGAAUAUAAGCUCCACAAGGGUAAGAAUUUUAUAUCUUUUGUUCAUUGCUGACUUCCUAGCAUCUACAACAGAGGUUAAAACUCUAAUAAGUACGCGCCCUUCUAAUUAUGAGAUCUGUUAUUUGACUGUGAGCCCCUGAUGAGGAGAUGAAACGCACUGCAACAUUUUGACUGCUCUGCUUACCCCAGUGCCAUGCAAAGAACAAGGAUUCAUGCAUACUUAUUAAAAAAAUGAAUCAAGUCUGUCUGGGAACAUUGCAAAUAAUAAGAAUGUACCACCAGACCUCCUGGUUCCUAUUAUCUCAUUUUGAAGAUGAGACAUCUGCAAAGUCAAAAGAUUUCUCUGGAUGUGAGAGACAAACAGUAACUUCUGUGUAGUUCUGGGAAGGAGGCAUCAUAGAGCAGGUGUGUUUUGAGUUCCAGUCCUCAGCAAGAGAGAGAGAAAAAAGAUUACUCAUAGAGAGGUAGGAAAAGGUUUUAAUAAAGUAUAAUUUCCAAGAAUUUGAGUAAGUUCUCUUAGGCCUAAUAUCCCUUUCCAACUUUGAGGACUUGCCCUACUGUCAGAAAUCUCCACAUUUUCUUUACUCUUCUAAAAAGUAACAUCUAGAAGUGAAACUUCUCGCCCCCAUGAGAUUAAAAUUAUAUCAA
This 8214-nucleotide long non-coding RNA is filed under the name Homo sapiens (human). RNAcentral describes it as "HSALNT0028063". The record is from RNAcentral. Lineage: Eukaryota; Metazoa; Chordata; Mammalia; Primates; Hominidae.